Molecule: transfer RNA, 72 nt
Filed under: Urocitellus parryii (Arctic ground squirrel)
Lineage: Eukaryota; Metazoa; Chordata; Mammalia; Rodentia; Sciuridae
Also listed under: 2 other names
Description: Spermophilus parryii (Arctic ground squirrel) tRNA
Rfam family: tRNA
About the family: Transfer RNA (tRNA) molecules are approximately 80 nucleotides in length. Their secondary structure includes four short double-helical elements and three loops (D, anti-codon, and T loops). Further hydrogen bonds mediate the characteristic L-shaped molecular structure. tRNAs have two regions of fundamental functional importance: the anti-codon, which is responsible for specific mRNA codon recognition, and the 3' end, to which the tRNAs corresponding amino acid is attached (by aminoacyl-tRNA synthetases). tRNAs cope with the degeneracy of the genetic code in two manners: having more than one tRNA (with a specific anti-codon) for a particular amino acid; and 'wobble' base-pairing, i.e. permitting non-standard base-pairing at the 3rd anti-codon position.
Source: Rfam by way of RNAcentral
GGGGAUGUGGCUCAGUGGUAAAGUGCUUGCCUAGCAAGUGUGAGGCACUGAGUUCAAUCCCCAGCAUCACCA